This 142-nucleotide transfer RNA is filed under the name Ignicoccus hospitalis KIN4/I. It matches the Rfam family "tRNA". Rfam says of the family: Transfer RNA (tRNA) molecules are approximately 80 nucleotides in length. Lineage: Archaea; Thermoproteati; Thermoproteota; Thermoprotei; Desulfurococcales; Desulfurococcaceae. The record is from Rfam by way of RNAcentral.
CCCGCCGUAGCUCAGCGGAAGAGCGCCCGGCUGUAGGGCCCUCCAGGCCCGCCCCCGGACCCGAAGGGCCCUUAGGCCCGCGGGAUGAGGGGGCGCCGGCCCAGACACCGGGUGGUCCGGGGUUCGAAUCCCCGCGGCGGGA